This 26-nucleotide non-coding RNA is filed under the name Homo sapiens (human). Lineage: Eukaryota; Metazoa; Chordata; Mammalia; Primates; Hominidae. The record is from RNAcentral.
UUUUGGAAUUUCCUUGGGGCAUGGUU